AAAAAUGUUCCAACUGGGAGCCUGCACCUUACCAUCUUUACAUUUCCAAAACAUUUUUUGUCAUAUUUGAAUACAUAAGCUUGAGGAAUAGUUACAUUUUUGGGGGGAGAAAAUUGAAACCCAUUUUGUCCCUCUUCUCAAGAAUCACUGAACUAUUAGGAUUUUGUUUGACCUUAUACUCCGAGCGACAGCUGAACAGUAGAGUUGGCGGCGCUGCCCCUCUGUGAUUUGUGUGUUUUUCUCUGCAGGAUGAAGGCAGUGCCUUGGUGAGGUAAAGUGAUUGUUGUGGUUUUCGAUAAAGUUUGCACCUUUUAAACUUUUUUUAAAAAUCAAUUGUGUUGUAGUUGUAGAAAUCAGUGGCUUGCAUAAUGUGAGAACAAUUAUAAAUGGCUUUUUAAAAAUAUAACGGGUCAGGGAUGUGACGGAUUAUUCGGGAAAUAGGACAUUCAAUCUGAUUUUUAUAACACUAUGUGCUAAAAUUAGAUUUUUUAUUUUCUGGCAAAGUCAGUUUGGGAUAUAAAUGAGAACAAAAGAACUAUUAUUAUUUCAGUCACUGUGCUAAUAAAUGUUGCUGUGUUAUGAGAACCAGACUCAUGCAACAGCAUACACAAUGCUGCGUUUGUGCGUGUGUGCACGUUUACAGAGUUACAGAGUUACAGAUUAGUUUCAGUGUCCUUUUGUAUCAAAUUGUCCCUGUCAAUGUUUUUGACACAAAUUAAAGUUGACUAUUUUGAUCCGACCUGUUUGCACCAUCUCUGUUUGCACCAACUUACACAGUUCUGCUCAGUUUGCAUUAAUUUAUUAUUCAUUUGCAACUGGUAAUAUUGUAAUAAAACACAAACUUUAUUUUCAAUAUGGAAAUUGCUUAGAAAUUAUAAAUAAUUGUAAAUUCAGGAGCAAUCUUGUUAUAUUGAGAAAAUGAGAAACUCAAAACUUGUUAAAUCAGAAACCUUCUGGUUAUAAUGAGGUGAAUUUUUCAUCUUGUUAUGAGAUCUAAAAAUAUGUUUUUGUCAAAAAGGACCAUGUUAAAAAGCA
Molecule: long non-coding RNA, 1035 nt
Organism: Poecilia latipinna (sailfin molly)
Lineage: Eukaryota; Metazoa; Chordata; Actinopteri; Cyprinodontiformes; Poeciliidae
Exons: 2
Source: RefSeq, a predicted model, not a curated record